Molecule: long non-coding RNA, 607 nt
Organism: Rattus norvegicus (Norway rat)
Lineage: Eukaryota; Metazoa; Chordata; Mammalia; Rodentia; Muridae
Source: RefSeq, a predicted model, not a curated record
AUGGAUUUUUUUCUUGCAUGUAUGUUUGUGUGCUGCAUGCAUGCAGUAACAAUGGAAAACAGAAGAGGACAUUGGAUUCUCUGGACCUGGAGUUACAGGUAGAGUUCCCUGCCCCAUGCAACGUAUGUGUAGGAGGGAAGCUUCCAAUCGUUCUGAAGAUGAGUGACAGCAAGACGACUACUGAUCCUCAGGAAUGUUUUCACAGAACAGGCGGUUAUUUUGUUUCUUUGUAUUUCUCACAAUAUUCAUUUCAUCGCUUUGAUAACUGGCUAGAUGUGAGUUGAUUAAGAACAAGAUGACGAGUAAGAAAGGAAAGGUGGAAAGAAGGAAGGAUCAGAGAAGGCCAGAGUUCUCCAGAACCUGCUGCAGAAAGCUGGUGACCAUCUUAUACCUCCAAGGGCUUUCAACCCUAGCAACACAUGCAUAGGACAAUGACAUCAACUGUUAGAGAUUCCAAAGAAACUAAUAAAAGAGUCAACAGAAGGUGGUACUUUCACAAGUUACAGAAGACAUACUCCAUACCAUGUUUUCUGACACCCCCCCCUGCAUGUGUGUGAGUGUGUGCGCGUGUGUGUGUGCAUGUGUGUAUUAAAGCACCUAACUCACA